RNAcentral lists this ribosomal RNA (543 nucleotides) under Triticum aestivum (bread wheat). Its description in RNAcentral is "partial small subunit ribosomal RNA". The record is from RNAcentral. Lineage: Eukaryota; Viridiplantae; Streptophyta; Magnoliopsida; Poales; Poaceae.
AUUCGGUCAUUUUCGUGGGGCUAUAAGCAGGGAUAGAGGAAACUGUCUUGAGUUUCUUGGGAUACCAUGAAUAUGCCACGCUACAUGGGAGGCCUCAGGUUUCGACAUUUUGAGAUAUUUAACUUGGCUCUUCUUGCAAGGCAAACAUCGACAAUUCUGGGUAAUCCUUCUUUCCUAGGUGCAAGAUUAUUGAAGGUUAUAUAUUUUCCUGGAUCUUCGCUUUUUGGUGCACAAGUUGGAAGCCACCCUUCCGAAGUUUGGAGGGCCAUUAUUGAGGGGAAGGACCUUAAACAGGGUUUGAUUAGGAAAAUUGGAAACGGAUCUACAACACAUACCUGGAACGAUAAUUGGCUACCCACAAAGGAGAUGAUAAGAGUCAUUGUCCCACUAAGUCAAAACCCACCCAUGAUGGUUUCGGAACUCAUUGACAGUACCAAUGCCAGACGGAAUGCAGAGGCAAAUAAUCAAGGUUUUUUUUUUCGAACCGAUUCCUUUGCCAUUCUAAAAAUUCCACUGUGCACGCAGAAUAUAGAUGAGUUUUAG